CGCUGGCGGCGUGCCUAAUACAUGCAAGUCGAGCGCGGGAAGCGGACUCGUCACCCUUCGGGGUGUCUAGUCCGUGGAACGAGCGGCGGAUGGGUGAGUAUCACGUGGGCAACCUGCCUGUAAGAUUGGGAUAACUCGCGGAAACGUGAGCUAAUACCGAAUGAAGUCUUUCACCGCCUGGUGAAAGGAUGAAAGAUGGCUUUUAGCUAUCACUUACAGAUGGGCCCGCGGCGCAUUAGCUAGUUGGUGGGGUAAAGGCCUACCAAGGCGACGAUGCGUAGCCGACCUGAGAGGGUGAUCGGCCACACUGGGACUGAGACACGGCCCAGACUCCUACGGGAGGCAGCAGUAGGGAAUCUUCCGCAAUGGACGAAAGUCUGACGGAGCAACGCCGCGUGAGUGAUGAAGGUCUUCGGAUCGUAAAACUCUGUUGUCAGGGAAGAACAAGUUGUGUUCUAACAGGACAUGACCUUGACGGUACCUGACCAGAAAGCCCCGGCUAACUACGUGCCAGCAGCCGC
RNAcentral lists this ribosomal RNA (521 nucleotides) under uncultured bacterium. RNAcentral describes it as "bacterial SSU rRNA". It matches the Rfam family "Bacterial small subunit ribosomal RNA", at positions 34 to 518 of the family's 1533-position model. The record is from RNAcentral.